RNAcentral lists this long non-coding RNA (1363 nucleotides) under Salvia miltiorrhiza (redroot sage). RNAcentral's name for it is "long non-coding RNA (SMIL_LNC010416)". The record is from RNAcentral. Lineage: Eukaryota; Viridiplantae; Streptophyta; Magnoliopsida; Lamiales; Lamiaceae.
CAAAUAUAUAUGCUCAAAGACUGCAGGCAAUUUUUUCAAGACGAUCUCUGUCAUCUGAUUUAUUAACACCAGGAACAAAAACUAGGUCCAAGCACCUUACAAUUAUUACACAUACUUAAAAUCAAAAAAAUAAAUAGCAGUGUCCUCUUUAAAAGUAAAAAUAAUAGUAGUGUCGAGCUAAACUUCUAUGCAUACAUAAACUUAAGCAAAUCACUGAACGGCCAAGUAAACACGGAAUGUGGAAAACGUGCACCUCACGAUGCGAUUAAGAAUGUGAUGAGAGAACAGAGCACAUAUAGCCACGAACAAGCCACCAGAUGAGAAUCUCUUGGAUCGAUGGCGAAGCCACUAUCAUAGAGACACAAGGCUUUCAACCAUCAAGCAGCAAUCUGACCGAACAGACUCUUGCGUAUCUGCGAUCAGAUAUGAGUUAUAUUAAGGGUUAUUUGGUAGGACUAAUAAGUAAAGAGAAUGUUCAUAUUAAUAUUUUAUCCUUUCAGGCUGCGUUUACUUUGAUGGAUAAAUUUAUCCAUGGAAAAGAAUGGAUAACAAAAAUUUAUGCCUUGAAAUGUCUCUUUUCUUUUCCAACAUUUGACACAAGAGCAUUUUUCCUUCCUUAUUUUCACUUCAAGGGAGGAUAAUAUUAUCACACCAAAAAUGGAGGGAUAAUAUUAUCCACCCUUGAAGUGAUAAGGAAGGAAAAAUGCAUUUGUGUCAAAUGUUGGAAAAGAAAUGGGACACUUAAAGGCAUNAUAAUAUUAUCCACCCUUGAAGUGAAAAUAAGGAAGGAAAAAUGCAUUUGUGUCAAAUGUUGGAAAAGAAAUGGGACAUUUAAAGGCAUAAAUUUUUGUUAUCCAUCAUUUUCCAUGGAUAAAUUUAUCCAUCAAAGUAAACGCAGCCUCAUAGGUUUCUACAGUAUUCAUUUUCUACUCCUUACUUUCUUAGAACACUUAAUUCAGAUUAAAACCAGACGUGUUCUGCACAUUAUUCAGCAGCAGAGAUGGUGUUUAUUUAGACAAACACUCAAAUAUUGAUUCCGAGAAACAAUCUUGAAGAUUAUGAGAUACAAGUAUCAACAUUCCCUCUAACUAAUUGACAUGGAAUUAAUAGAAAACAAUAAGAAGAGUGCAAAAUAAGCAGCAUAAAAAGGAGCUUAGCUUUCUAGCGAGACAACUCAUAGUUCAAAUCUGCCAGCUUCAUAUAGUUGGCAAUUGGCAUCAUAAUGAGCGGAAACAGAAAAAAGUAAAAGCAGAGAGCUUAGAUUGGAAGGUACCUCUGGUAACUUUUUACGGAAUACAACCUCCAGUCUAGCAUCAAGAGUGUUCUCAAAAACAAUUUUCCCAUCCCUAGAAGCCAGCACCAC